Bombus pyrosoma is the source of this 1022-nucleotide long non-coding RNA. RefSeq lists it as uncharacterized. The transcript is spliced from 3 exons. The record is from RefSeq and is a predicted model, not a curated record. Lineage: Eukaryota; Metazoa; Arthropoda; Insecta; Hymenoptera; Apidae.
UUUAAUGGAGUAGCCUACAGAUGUCGUACGAAGACUUAAGCCCGAUCGGAGUCAGCGCAAAUAUCUAAUCGACAGUUUCGCAAUGUCAUUUCACCCUUGUAAAAGUUCUAUCGUCGGUUCGACUCGAUAAUUGAUUCAGAUCAUUAAACAAGCUGGCGUUGCUCAGCCAUUUGCCAAACGUGUCUUAAAUUAAACAAGGGAUAGUCGGGAGUGAGCGAAAGACAAACGUAAAAAAUUAUUUCACGUAGGUAGACGGAUGCACCCUAACCAAAGGCCAUUUUCUUCGGAUUCACUCACCUUUGAUUGUAUAAGAGGAAUGAAGUUACGGGAAGCCUUGUGAGAUUAAAAUAUCACCAACGAAAUCAAUCGACGAGUACAAUCCAAGAAGAGGAGAUUUGAGGUUGUUUUAUUCUCGAGAAAAAUUCCAUCGUCCUAUGUUUUAUCUCCUACAGUCUACUUUUGAGAUUUUACCUUUAAUGUUCUGUGAAAUUCUAAAAUAUCGCAUGAUCAGAAAUUGCCGUGCAUCUCGUUCAGAGGAGAUUAAUUAUGUACUUGAUAAUUAAAAUUUUUAACAUCACUUCAGUUACAUCGUUGUAUUUAUUUUUAUUUAUAUAUUAAUCGAAUUCCCGUUUUCGCGUUCUUGCUCGUUUCAUAUGAGCAUUAUAAAGAAAUUUGGCUUUGAAUCAAGAAAGUCGAUUUUUAAAUGGAAGGUAAAGGAAAUUCCUAGUAUACGAAUGUCGCUUUCACCAACACCAUUGAGGGCAAUAUUAUCAGUGCAUUAUUCGAUUCGAAAAUUGAACUCGCAUAAAAGACCUUGGAACAUGAAACUGCUCGUUGAAGAGAAUCGCAAUACGAUGAGCACAGACUGCAAUGGGUACUGACGUAAUCAUGACAUGGAUACAUAUGUACUCGUGCUCAAUGUAUGCAUAAAAUAUACAAUAUACAUAUGUUCACGUAAAAUGUAAUAGAUUGCACAAUUUGUAACAUGAUCAAUAAAAUUUUUAAAAAUUUUUCUUGCAAAA